RNAcentral lists this ribosomal RNA (253 nucleotides) under uncultured bacterium. Its description in RNAcentral is "partial 16S ribosomal RNA". It matches the Rfam family "Bacterial small subunit ribosomal RNA", at positions 524 to 776 of the family's 1533-position model. The record is from RNAcentral.
CACGGGGGGAGCAAGCGUUGUUCGGAUUCGUUGGGCGUAAAGGGCUCGUAGGUGGCUUUGUAAGUCGGAGGUGAAAGACCACGGCUCAACCGUGGAAACGCCUUCGAGACUGUGAAGCUUGAGGCUGGGAGAGGAAAUCGGAAUUCCUGGUGUAGCGGUGAAAUGCGUAGAUAUCAGGAGGAACACCGGUGGCGAAGGCGGAUUUCUGGACCAGUUCUGACACUGAUGAGCGAAAGCCAGGGGAGCAAACAGG